Long non-coding RNA from Nerophis ophidion (straightnose pipefish), 1783 nucleotides. RefSeq lists it as uncharacterized. Lineage: Eukaryota; Metazoa; Chordata; Actinopteri; Syngnathiformes; Syngnathidae. The record is from RefSeq and is a predicted model, not a curated record. The transcript has 3 exons.
GGCUUUUUUAUUAGCGACCAAAAGUUGCACACUUUAUUGUCGAUGUUCUCUACUAAAUCCUUUCAGCAAAAAUAUGGCAAUAUCGCGAAAUGAUCAAUUAUGACACAUAGAAUGGACCUGCUAUCCCCGUUUAAAUAAGACAAUCUCAUUUAAGUAGGCCUUUGAAGAAGUUGGCCAUAAAUUAUUGCAUUUUCACUGGUUUUAUAGGACCAUAAAUGUCUUAAUAUUUAUCAAAUGAUUAAUAUAUCACAAGUCAUGAAUCAUAUUUACAAGACAUCUAAUAAUAUAUUUGAUGCACAUACCUACAUGAAACAAAACACAUUUAGAAAUUGUGUACGUGGAACUUUGAUCUCCAAUUAGUUGUUGAAAAAAAAAGUAGAUCCUCCUGAGUUGGAGAAGUACUUCAUCAAGGAGGGCGUGUCUUUGACUUGAAAGAGGUCUUUGUAACGGACAUGUCAGAAUCAAAUAAAAGUCCGCAUUUCAAGAGCAAUCCAGUCAGAACUUAGUUGGGAUCCAAAUCGAGCAGAAGCUUAAGUUCAACAUCGUCACUUUUUCAACAAUGAUGGCUUUUCCAUCCAUCAGGUAAGACAACUUUUCACAUUACUCUUGAUUCAAUCACGCCCAAGUGUAAGUAUUUUAAAUGCAAAGAAAACUUAAUUUGCACGCUAUUUCUACUUCACUUGAUGAAGCGAUGAAGUUAAACUUUGAAACUUUAAACAGGUACAACUUGCUUGAUUGAUGCCUUAAGAAUCAGGUGUGCACUAAUUACAAAAUAUAAAGUCUGGAACCUUCCCAAUUGCACUUGAAGAUAAGUUGUUUUAAAUGGUGACCAUAACAAACAUUAUUCGACACCGUCGACUUUUGUGCAACAAUUGUAUUGUUGUCGCUAAGUUUACGAACCUUAAAACGAGCAUUUUAAACUAACUCAUCAUGCUAGAAAAGCUAGCGUGCUAACUGCUUUAACUUCAGUCGGUAACGAACUUAACGGAGGUUAGGAAACGGCUUUUUGUUCUAAUUGAGCCAGUGUUAUAAUAUAAAGCACUAUCAACAUUAAUUCAGUGGUAAAAUAACUACAUAACCUGUUGUCGUUGACAGGCGGGGGGAGAGCUCCAUCUUGUGUGCGUUGUGGUGGUGAUGAGGGCUAGAAUGAUCCCAGUGUCUAUAGUGGUGAUAUCAGGGCUACAUCAAUAUCGCAUUUAAAUUAGCGUAAAAGGAUCGAUAUUUUUUUGUGCUUUUCAAUUGUCUUUUUUUACACAUACAUUACAUAUAUGUAACGGUGUAGAAAACAGAAUAUCCUUAUGCUUGAUUAAAUUAUGAAUGAAGUGUUGCAACAGCGCCUGUUGCUGGCGACAAGUGGUAUCUACGGUUACCUGUGGGAAGUGCUCAGAACUGUGACGCCUGCAAACUGGUGAGACACGUUAUUGUAUUGUCCGGGAUUGAUUACUAAUUAGUGAAUAUUGACUGUUUAUAUUUUGAUUAGUACUUUGUAACAGACACAUAAAAAGGUUCGCUAAUUGGUAUUGACCAAAACUGUAUCCUGGAGUGAUAUUUUAAAGACAAUAACACACUUUUGCUGUGUAAACUAAUUGGUGAUUUUUGUGUUAUUUAGAGAAUCCAGUGACCCAAGUGGACUCACAGUCUCACAAUUUGCACUGUUUUGCAGGGCUCCUUUCAAGCAUGACAUUCGGGAGAAGAUGCUUAUGAGGCAGUUUGUGCUCAUGAAACAGAGGAAUGAAGUUCCCAGGCAUAUCUCGGUGCAUCACAUGAAGCAAUGGCGCCUGGC